UAGAAUAUAAUUAAUUAUUAUAUUAAUAUAUUAUAAUCAUUAUUACUAAAAAUUAAUAUAACGUGGUAAGGAAAGGUUUUAAAUUUAAUACCAACCGAAAUUAAUAUUAAAUAUAAUGGUCGAAAUGGGUGAUUUCGCCGGGUUAAAUACGGAAAUAAUUUAACAGGGCGCGGUCUUUUGCAAUUUAUUAAUUACAAACUAUUAUAAUUACUUAGAUAAUUGCCAAAUAAGUACGUUUACAGCGAAAAGAUUUAAAACAAAUGGAUCGAAUUUUAAUUUAAAAUUAUUUUAUAUAUUUUCAAAGAAAAUUGGCGCAAUGUUAUAAAGAAUUAAAACCAGCCCGAAAGGUUUUGAUUGUUCAAAUUAUUUUAAUACACCCAGGAAAUUGAGAAAUAUAUUACAACAUUUAUAUAAAAGUAAUGUAACCAUUGCAAAAUCCCACCAAAAAUCAUUAUAUGUACAAGGUUGCAACUUUUAAUAUAAAAGGUAUAGUUUUUUUAUGUUGGCAAUUUGUAUAAAUUUAUAUAAUAUAAUAUAUAUUAACAUUCUACCUUAUAAACAAAUUUUUGGCGUUUGUUAUAAAGGUUUAAAAUAAAAGGUUGGAAAUGUGAAGAAAAAUCGUAUUUCUUAUAAAUGCUUUAUAAUUUAUUAUAAUAAAGGUUUUUCUAUUUUUAUUAGUUUUAAUUCAAACUUGCGGUUGGAAUUAAUAUUUUCUGAAAUUAAGAAUAUAUAAAUUAUCAUAAAUUUGAAUUGUUAAUACAUAGGAUUAUUAGCAUUUGAAAACCGUGUGUUUUAGUGGGAUUUUGCAAUAAUCGCGUUAAUUAUAUAUAUUUAUUGUAUUUGUUAUAUUUGCCUACGACCAAAUUUGCAACGGUACUAAAACGUGCGGGAAACGCGUAAGUUAAUAUAAAAUGGUACAAAUAAAUAAACUUAUAAUAAUAAUAUAGUUAGAAUAGAGGGAACGUUGGGAUUUAUAUUUCUAUUUUUUUAAUGAUUAUUCUAAUUAAUAUAGUAGCUAAUAAUAAUAAAAAAGGUAAUGAGACAUAAAGUAAAUAAUAUAUAUUCAAUUUAUAAUUAAAUAAUAUUAGAUUAAUAGUAAAUUAAUUUUAGAAAUUAAUAAAUAAUAAAUUAAAUGUUUUUACCCGUUAAAAUAACCGAUGCGUAAUAUUUACCCCAAAUUAAAUAAUUAUAAUUGCAAAGAAAAAUAAAAUAAAUAAAAUACCCCGUAUAAAAAUAGUUGUUUGCGAAAUUUAUAAGUUAUAAAUUGUAAAAUAGUUUAUAAAUUGGUCUAUUAUAAAUGGGACCGUCGUUAUAACAGUAGAAGCUAAAGUUUUGAAAGAGAUAAUAAAUUCCGUUCCGGUAUAUAAAUAUAUCGUGGUAUCCGCGCCAUAUUGCGCCGAAUUGGGGAAAAAUCAUAUUUAAUAACGCGGAUCCGCAACGGGAUAAAGGUAAUAUUAGGGGAUUAGCCAAUAAAUAUUAAAACCGGUAAUAUACCAGUUUAAUUAUAUAAGGUCCGGCCAAAUAUAUAUAACGGAUACGCAUUUUUAAUAAUUUAUAUUUUUUGGAGCUUUAAUUAUAUUAAAUUCUGCACCUAAAAUAUUAUUAGCAAAAGCAGUAUUAAUAGGGGUUUAGGGGGAAACCCUUGGUGUUAUAUCGUUAACAACCAAUUUUAAAAACGCUGUAAUAAAAGUGGGAGAACCCUGUAAAUAUAUGGUAAAAUACACUAAAAUCUGGGAUAAAUAAUUAUAUCGGUUGGGGGAGAUUUUAUUUUAUUUCCCUUGUAUAUUUUUUAAUAAUAAAAUGGGGGUCGGUACGCCAAAACAAGUUUGCGAUACCGUAAAUGGAUUUCUGAAAAAUAAAUUUAUAUGGGUAUAUGGGUUUUUGAAAAGAAAUAUUUUUAAUUGCAUAUAAAUUAUUUUUGUAUUUGCACUUAAAUGUAAAUCUAGUAAAGUUUUAAGCCCGGUAUAAAAUAAUUAAUCCCGUUUGCUAGUUUUUAAAUUGCAAUUCCUAUAUUUAACAAAUUAAUGGGAUUUUAAAAACCCCAUUUCGGCGUUAUAUAUUAUAAACUAUAUACAGAUGAAAAUAGAGUUAUUUACAUUGAAAAUAAUAUAUAUAGUUUAUAUUUUGCUCUGCUAUUUGUGUGGAACUAAAAUCUAAGUAAAGCAAUUAAAAUAUACAAAGAAAAGAAUAUAUUUUUAUAUUUCUACCCAGUUCGAACCCCCGAUACGAGCUCCCUGGAUAAUCAAACCUUUCAUACCAAACCUUGUAAUUAAAUUGGACCCCGGAUUAGACAAACCCCUGAAUUAAACCCUCCCCCCUCCAAAAUUGUAAUAACCCCAAAUUUCCAAUUUAUAAUUAACAAAUUAUAAUUUAUGAAAUUAAAUAUUGGGCCAGUUUGCCCAGUAGUUAAUUGUGCUAUUUGUUAUUUAAAUCUUAAAUAAAUAUAAUGUAUCAAGUGUUUGGAAUUGGAAAACCGCCCAAAGCGCGUAUUAUUUAAUUUCAAUUCGAUUUUAUAAAUUAAAUUGGUAGGAAUAGUUUAGUCAGUAAUUUACAUAAAAUAAAUUCGUGUAAGACGGUCGGUGUUGGGCUAAUAUAAAUCUAUCAUUGCAAUUAAAAGAAAUUAUAAUUAUUAUUUAAUAAAUUAAUUUGAUGUUGUACAGUUUUAUAAAUCAAAAUUGAUUUACAAAAGUUUUUAAUUUUAUAAACUUCGAAAAAAGUUUAUUAAUCGGAAACGUUGCGGUUUUGUAAAAUUAUUAACGGGUAUUUGUUUGGAUUUUAAAUAUGUUCAAACUAUUAACCCUUUUAUAAUUAAUUCCCGUAUAUAAUAAAAUUCUAAUAACGUUUAUUUAAUAGGUUGGUGGUUUGUAAAACUUUAUGCGCUAAUUAUAAAACCUUUAUUUUUCUAAAUAUUGCAAUAGGGUUUGAUACAGGUAAUCCACUUUUGUAAAUAAGUUUUUGGAUUAUUAUAUUUUGCGCAAGGUUUUUAUUAUAAUAUCGGUUUCGGUUUUUGGAGUAUUUAAAAUUAUACUAGUAGCAUUUUUGUAUUUUUACGUUAUAAAACCCCCAAAUAAAAUAUAUA
RNAcentral lists this small RNA (3079 nucleotides) under Pyricularia oryzae. RNAcentral's name for it is "Magnaporthe oryzae sRNA M_BR32_EuGene_00128291". Lineage: Eukaryota; Fungi; Ascomycota; Sordariomycetes; Magnaporthales; Pyriculariaceae. The record is from RNAcentral.